Mauremys reevesii (Reeves's turtle) is the source of this 2360-nucleotide long non-coding RNA. RefSeq lists it as uncharacterized. Lineage: Eukaryota; Metazoa; Chordata; Testudines; Geoemydidae. The transcript has 3 exons. The record is from RefSeq and is a predicted model, not a curated record.
CUAAGUGUGAAAACUACUGGGAAAGUCUGAUGAUAGCUCUUUACAGCAUUAUAGGCACAAACCUCUGAACAACUUCGUCAUCGGUCCGAGAGCCCUCUCUGCUUUUCCCCAGGUCAUCUUCUACUGUGCCGUCCGCGUCCAGCUCCUCCGCUCUAGCCGAUGCUGGGGAGAAGGGGGCGUUAGAGAACUGACCCACAGCGCGGAGCCGCCUCGCCCCUGCGGGGGGCCUGCCGCGCCGUGCACUGCAAAGGAGACGCCUGUCUGGACCCCGCCGCGGGCGACACGAGGGGAGGGAGGAGGCGGGGAAGGUUUCCGAGCUGCAGCCCCAGCGCCAUGACGGGCCGGGCAGUGCAGGGAGCUUCCCCCCCCCCACACCCGGUUAUAACGGCGCUGCGGGGAGCGGCUCCGCCCCCACCACGGGGCGCAGCGCCUCGAGGCUCAGGCCCCUGAGGGGAAGAGCCAGCGCGGGCCCCGCCAGCCUCCGGGGAAGCUGAGGAGAGAUGGGGAGGCGGGGCCGGACGCCGGGCAGUUCUCCCCGCUCGCCCCAGAGCGGAUCCCCCCUCCCCGGUUCAAACGGCCCCGAGGGUCCCAGCCCCUCCCUCUUAUUCCCCGGGCGGAGGCCGCGCGGGCCCAGGCUCAGGCCACCUGCCCCAACCGCUCCUCGCCAGAAGCUUCUAGAACCCGCGGGCGGGCGGGCGACUCACAGGCUAGGAGCAGGACACACAGAAGAGCGAGUCCCCACAGCGGCUUCAUGGCGGUGUCAAAGCGGACCCAGGAGAGAACAACCGAGCCCCCUGCCCCGCGACUCGAGCUCAGAGGAACGGGUCUAUCGCCGAAUCUGCCGAGCCACCAGCCAGGUGAGCCCGCCUCCCCCCAGCCUUAUCACUGUCCGGCACGCGGGGCGGGGAACGGCGCUCAGCAAGCCGCCAAUCAGAGCGCACCACGCCAAACACAGAGCCAAUGAAGAGCCCCGAGGGGUGGGGCGGAGUCCGGUCCUUGCCAAUGAGAACCUUCCAUGUGCGGCUUACUGCGGCCAGAGCGUGGCCGCCUCUGAUUGGUCACUGGAAGGAAGAGUCGGCCAAUCAUUUUUAAUAGCUAGUUUAAUCUGCCUGCCUUUUAUUUAAAUUAAAUACUCGGAAAUGUUUGACUCCGCGGGCACGUGACUCACCCACGGAUGAGAUCCGUGUCUAAAGCGAUAAAAGUCUCCACAUGGCCGGAUCAAUCCAAAGCAUUUCCGGGGCGCCGGAAUGUUUGCCCAGAGACAGUUACUACGGCAACGUUUACUUCCGGCAGGUACAAGCUCUGCGGAGGCGGCUCCGGAGGAGUGGAAGCACUGGAAGUUGAAGAGUGUUGAACCUGAAGUUCUUUUGUGUAUGAAUAAGAUGUUGGAAAUGUCCCACACUCCAGCAUGCUUAAGUGGAAAAAAAGAGAAGACCAUUGUUUUCAUUUCACAGACUGGUCAUCUACUCAGCCUUAUACAUGUUUGACGUUAAAGGACUGCCAAGAACAAAGAGAUUACUUGGCAAACAAUGUUUUCACUAGACUUAAUAAACUCUGCACUUUAUGAGUGACAUAUUUCAAAGCAAUUGAUCUGAGAUGGUCAACAGAAGAGGUACAAAAUCCAUCCUGCCCAGGACUUCACAAACAACAUUCCAGGUCUACAGCUAAAGCUUUGUCUGGACUACAUAAUAAGCUCAUCACUCUUUCUUUGCAUGCUGGGCCAGACAUGUGGUGUGUUUCACCCUGAAAACUCAUUGUUCUUACCUCCUUAUUCACCAGACAUUCAAAGUUUAUCCAAAAUAGGAAACACUAUUUUGCCACAAAGAAUGGUUAUCCUUGAGUUCUUGAUGAAGGGAACCAACACUGCAGCCUGAGAUGGAAAUACUCCAUGCAGCUUUUCUGAGUGAUUUGCAGUAUUAAUAUUUUUACUUCAAAGAAUAUUGCUACACUGAUGACAAACUGUUGAAUGCUGCAGAUGAAGAAGAGGGAAGAAUAUUUUUCCAGCAGGCAUGUGAUGGCAACUAUGAAGAAUUAACAGAGUUGAAAGCCAGAUGUGAUAGAAAUCUGUGUGAAUUUGCAGGGAGUUUUCAAGACUGGCCUGAUGUAAUUGAAAAACUUUUUCCUGCUUUGAAGCCUGAAAAUACAGGUUAGUAAUUCAGAAAUUUGAACAAAAGAAGCACAGCAUUUCUAGAACUCUGUUAAAAACAUACUUUCAGGAUUGAGUUCUUUCUAAACGUUUCCUAAAUAAAGCGUACAAAUGCUGUGGAAGUACAUAUAGGCAUCUGGAAGAGAUGGGAACUCAGAGCAGAAGAAAGUGGCACCUAUAUACCUGUGAAUAAAAUUUUAUUUGUAACAAGUUU